GGAGUCUGGUCCGUGUCUCAGUACCAGUGUGGGGGACCUUCCUCUCAGAACCCCUAAGGAUCGAUGGCUCGGUGGGCCGUUACCCCGCCAACUACCUAAUCGGACGCAUCCCCAUCCAUGGCCGGUAAACCUUUAGUCCUCGUUAGAUGUCUGCAAAGGACGCCAUAGGGCAUUAAUCCGCUUUUCAACGGGCUAUUCCCUAGCCAUGGGCAGGUUGGAUACGCGUUACUCACCCGUGCGCCGGUCGCCAUCAGAGUCUGCAAGCAAACCCUAUGCUGCCCCUCGACUUGCAUGUGUUAAGCCUGUAGCUAGCGUUCAUC
RNAcentral lists this ribosomal RNA (320 nucleotides) under uncultured Prevotella sp. RNAcentral's name for it is "partial 16S ribosomal RNA". Lineage: Bacteria; Pseudomonadati; Bacteroidota; Bacteroidia; Bacteroidales; Prevotellaceae. The record is from RNAcentral.